Molecule: long non-coding RNA, 1275 nt
Filed under: Callithrix jacchus (white-tufted-ear marmoset)
Lineage: Eukaryota; Metazoa; Chordata; Mammalia; Primates; Cebidae
Description: lncRNA (ENSCJAG00000055171.2)
Source: RNAcentral
CAACAACAAUCUAUAGACUCAUUAGCUUCAGUAGUAGCACAGAAUAGAUGUGCCCUUGAUGGCCUUAUAGCUGAAGUAGGGGGUACCUGUGUAGUCUUAAGUGAAUCGUGCUGCUUCGGAAUCAACACUCCUAAUCAAGUAGAAGAAAACCUACAGAAGACUGAAAUUCCAAGGAUAAAUGGAAAUGAUAGCUUCAGCUUUACUCGGGUGCUUCUACUGUGUUUGGGUAAAGAAGUAAGGCAAAGGCAGAUACCCAAAGAGAGAACUGAUGGCCAAUCCUGAAGAACAUCUCAACCAAAAUAAGGCUAAAGAGGAGAAGGAAAAGGAGAAGCUGUCUUCCUGGUCUCAAGGUGGCAGAGGCAGAUAUGUGGGUUUAUAUCUUAUAAAUCCACAUAUAAAAGCACACCUGCAGUUAAAAACCAUGCUGUUCAAGGGUCAUGCAGUUGAAGAGAUCUGGAAGUCAGUCUUCCAAAUAGGAUGUUUAUCUGAAAUAUCAAUCAAAAGAAAUCCUAGGAUCUAUGGAAUAAAAUAUUGAAGAACAAACAACCAAAGAGCUAAGUAGCAAAUGGAAUCUAACAAUAUGGGAAAUUAUGUUUUUUAAAAAGCAUAAAGAAAGAGGAGCUUUAAGAAGCCACUUCAGUCAUGCUAUACCGAGAUCCUCAACAUAUUCUCAGUGGCCAAAAGUAUUUUUGGAUUUUGCAGUUGAAAGCAAGAAAAAAAAAUCCAUAUCUUCUGUUCCAGACUUAAUUCCAAAUGUGCUUGCAUUUGUUUAUGAAAAAUAAAAAAAAAUCACAAAUUUUUAUUCCUGAAACUUAAGCCAUCUGUGUCCCUAAGAAAUGGAAAAGUAUAUCAGAUAAUAAAGACUAAAGUUUGGCUGCAAGUGGAAAUUUAUUAUAUAUGGAGUUUAUUUUUUAAUGUGGGCCAAUUUUUUUUCUUUUUUUUUCUAUUCUUCUUCUUUUCUUUCUUUCUUUUUUUUUGAGAUGGAGUUUUGCUCUUGUUGCCCAGGCUGGAGUACAGUGGCGAGAUCUUGUCUCAUUGCAACCUCUGGCUCCAAGGUUUAAGCUAUUCUCCUGCCUCAGCCUUUCAAGUAGUUGGGAUUACAGAUGCCCCCCAAUCACGCUCAGGUAAUUUAUAUAUGUGUGUGUGUGUGUGUGUGUGUGGUGUGUAUAUAUAUGUGUGUGUGUGUAUAUAUACAUAUAAAUAUGCUUAUAUAUAUAUAUAUAUAUAUAUAUAUAUAUAUAUUUAGCAGAGAUGGAGUUUCACUGUGUUGCCCAG